AUGGCUCUCGUUGCUUUCCUGACUGGUGGGUUUGUCAUUUUGACUUGGUUUUUUCGGCUGGUUAUCAUCUGGUUUGGUGGAGUCUCCCUUGUUACCUGGGUUUUCUUGGCUCUCGUUGCUUUCCUGACUGGUGGGUUUGUCAUUGUGACUUGGUUUUUGGGAUUUGUUGUUAUCAUCUGGUUUGGUGGAGUCUCCAUUUUUACCUGGGUUUUCUUGGCUCUCGUUGCUUUCCUGACUGGUGGAUUUGUCAUUUUGACUUGGUUUUUUGGGCUGGUUGUUAUCAUCUGGUUUGGUGGAGUCUCCCUUGUUACCUGGGUUUUCUUGGCUCUCGUUGCUUUCCUGACUGGUGGGUUUGUCAUUUUGACUUGGUUUUUGGGGUUUGUUGUUAUCAUCUGGUUUGGUGGAGUCUCCAUUUUUACCUGGGUUUUCUUGGCUCUCGUUGCUUUCCUGACUGGUGGGUUUGUCAUUUUUACUCGUUUUUUUGGGUUUGUUGUUAUCAUCUGGUUUGGUGGAGUCUCCAUUGUUACCUGGGUUUUCUUGGCUCUCGUUGCUUUCCUGACUGGUGGGUUUGUCAUUUUUACUCGGUUUUUGGGGUUUGUUGUUAUCAUCUGGUUUGGUGGAGUCUCCCUUGUUACCUGGGUUUUCUUGGCUCUCGUUGCUUUCCUGACUGGUGGGUUUGUCAUUUUUACUCGGUUUUUUGGGUUUGUUGUUAUCAUCUGGUUUGGUGGAGUCUCCAUUGUUACCUGGGUUUUCUUGGCUCUCGUUGCUUUCCUGACUGGUGGGUUGGUUAUUUUUACUCGGUUUUUGGGGUUUGUUGUUAUCAUCUGGUUUGGUGGAGUCUCCAUUGUUACCUUGGUUUUCUUGGCUCUCGUUGCUUUCCUGACUGGUGGGUUUGUCAUUUUGACCUGUUUUUUUGGGCUGGUUGUUAUCAUCUGGUUUGGUGGAGUCUCCCUUGUUACCUGGGUUUUCGUGGCUCUCGUUGCUUUCCUGACUGUUGGGUUUGUCAUUUUGACUUGGUUUUUGGGGUUUGUUGUUAUCAUCCUUUUUGGCGGGUUUUCCCUUGUUACCUGGGUUUUCUUGGCUCUCGUUGCUUUCCUGACUGGUAGGUUUGUCAUUUUGACUUGGUUUUUUGGGCUGGUUGUUAUCAUCUGGUUUGGUGGAGUCUCCCUUGUUACCUGGGUUUUCUUGGCUCUCGUUGCUUUCCUGACUGUUGGGUUUGUCAUUUUUACUUGGUUUUUUGGGCUGGUUGUUAUCAUCUGGUUUGGUGGAGUCUCCCUUGUUACCUGGGUUUUCUUGGCUCUCGUUGCUUUCCUGACUGGUGGGUUUGUCAUUUUUACAUGGCUUUUUGGGCUGGUUGUUAUCAUCUGGUUUUGUUGGGUUUCCCUUGUUACCUGGGUUGCCGCUGCUCUCGUUGCUUUCCUGACUGGUGGGUUUGUCAUUUGUCCUUGGCUUUUUGGGCUGGUUGUUAUCAUCUGGAUUGGUGGGGUUUCCCUUGUUACCUGGGUUUUCGUGGCUCUCGUUACUUUCCUGACUGGUGGGUUUGUCAAUUUUACUUGGCUUUUUGGGCUUGUUGUUAUCAUCUGGUUUUGCUGGGUUUCCCAUGUUACCUGGGUUGCCGCUGCUCUCGUUGCUUCUUUUUUCUUCAUUCAUACCUUGGUUGCCAAGAUUGUUGUCAUUACCCAAGAUGUAUUGCUUUUGUGUGUUACCAGAGUUGUCAUUGUCAGUCAAGUUGGGCUUUUUCCUGGACGGAGUCAGCUUGUAACCUGCGUUGGUAGGUUGCUGGUUGUGACUUGGGUUAGCAGGCUGCUGGUUUUUGAAAGGGUUCGUGGGUUGCUGGCUUUGAACUGUUUUGGUAAGCUUGUGGUUGCCAACUGGGUCCGCUGGCUUUUGGUGGUUGUUUUGGUCAGGAUGUCGCUGGUAGCUCCCUGGUAA
RNAcentral lists this long non-coding RNA (1932 nucleotides) under Scophthalmus maximus (turbot). Its description in RNAcentral is "lncRNA (ENSSMAG00000031432.1)". The record is from RNAcentral. Lineage: Eukaryota; Metazoa; Chordata; Actinopteri; Pleuronectiformes; Scophthalmidae.